RNAcentral lists this long non-coding RNA (1321 nucleotides) under Capra hircus (goat). RNAcentral's name for it is "lncRNA (ENSCHIG00010019688.1)". The record is from RNAcentral. Lineage: Eukaryota; Metazoa; Chordata; Mammalia; Artiodactyla; Bovidae.
GUUUGAUCUCCUUGCUGUUCAAGGGACUCUCAAGAAUCUUCUCUAGCACUAUAGUUCAAAAGUCUGAAUUCUUGAGCACUCAACCUUCUUCAUGGUCCAGCUCUCACAUGUAUACAUGACUCCUGGAAAAACCAUAGUUUAGACUAGAGAUUAAGCCUUAAUUCUAAACUAUGGCCACUCAAAGUGAUGUAAUGAAUUGUAUGAGUCACUCUACAGGUCAUUGUCUGUGGUCACCUGCUUCUGGAGAACCUGUCUUCUUGGGGAUACUCUCCUCUCUUUGCAUUUUUAACUUGUCUUCAGAUUGUAGCAUCACUUAAUAUUCUUAGUUUUCUAGUCUCUGUGCCUUUGAAUAGGAGGAAAGAGAGCUACAAUUGCAUCUUGAUUGAUCAGAACUUUAAAUUAUAGAAAUACUUGAGAUAAUUCAGUGAAGGGCAUACUGAAGAAGAAUUUAUUGUGAUGCAAUUAUGAAUAUUUAUAUGUUAAGAGUUUAGUACUAUCUUUGCCUUAUCAGAUAACAGUACUGUAGAAUUAUCUUAAAAUAAUUCAGGCUUAAAAAAGAGAGAAAGAAAUGUAUUCAGAACUUCCUCAGCCUGAUGGAGAAUUACUCCUCUCCUGUGAACAGAUGAGUCCUCUCCUGGCAGCCCCUUCCUAUAACCUCUUGUGAGUCCCUUGACACACGUGCCUUUUCUUAUGUGUACCAAGUGCUUUAUUCAGGGUUGAUUAAACAGCAGCAUCAUAGAUGCAGACUGUCAUUGUUGCCUUUGGUCUAGUUUGAAUAGUGAACAUGCAGCAGAAGAUGCUGUUAGUUGAAAGAAAAUAGCUCAGAAUGUCAAAAGGUUGGUCCCUCAAAAAUACUUUGAGAAAUGAGAAAAUGUAAAAUGUCACUUUAGGAAGCUGAGAUCAGCCAUGCUCUUCUCUAUUCUUAAGCUUAUUUUCACUGCAUUUGAUAAAUUUACUUUUGUCUCAUGGAGUGUUUAGGGGAAGUCAUUCUUUGUUUUAGAGGUGUUAAGUCAACAAUUACCUAUCAAAGCUUCUAAGACCCCAAACUGAGGUAUUUAGAAACACAGGUGCAUUAAAACAUUGUUUUUUAUUGUGCAUAUUUUGCUGAGGGUNNNNNUCAGUCACUAAGUUGUGUCUGACUCUCUGCGACCUCAUGAACUGCAGCACGCCAGACUUCCCUGUCCUUCACCAUCUCCCAGAAUUUGUUUAAACUUAUGUCCAUUGAGUCAGUGAUGCCAUCCAACCUUCUCACUCUCUGUUGCUCCCUACCUUCAGUCUUUUCCAGCAUCAGGGUCUUUUCCAGUGAGUUGGCUCUUCGCAU